RNAcentral lists this ribosomal RNA (466 nucleotides) under uncultured bacterium. RNAcentral's name for it is "bacterial SSU rRNA". It matches the Rfam family "Bacterial small subunit ribosomal RNA", at positions 355 to 825 of the family's 1533-position model. The record is from RNAcentral.
UGGGGAAUUUUGGACAAUGGGGGCAACCCUGAUCCAGCCAUGCCGCGUGCAGGAAGAAGGCGUUAUGCGUUGUAAACUGCUUUUGCCAGGGGAUAAAAAGACCGUGCGCGGUUAAUUGAAGGUACCUGGUGAAUAAGCCACGGCUAACUACGUGCCAGCAGCCGCGGUAAUACGUAGGUGGCAAGCGUUGUCCGGAUUUAUUGGGUUUAAAGGGUGCGUAGGUGGCCCUGUAAGUCAGUGGUGAAAUAUCUCAGCUUAACUGAGAGGGUGCCAUUGAUACUGCAGGGCUUGAGUACAGAUGAGGUAGGCGGAAUUGACGGUGUAGCGGUGAAAUGCAUAGAUAUCGUCAAGAACACCGAUAGCGAAGGCAGCUUACCAAGCUGUAACUGACACUGAGGCACGAAAGUGUGGGGAUCAAACAGGAUUAGAUACCCAAGUAGUCCCUGAGCGGGCUGGCAAGGCGCAU